GGCCCAAUGGUCUAGAAGUAUGAUACACGCUUCGGGUUAAUACCGGUGAUCCGAUGGUCACGUGACUGUGUGUGGUCCCGGGUUCAAUUCCCGGUUGGGCCC
Mycena galericulata is the source of this 102-nucleotide non-coding RNA. The record is from the annotation of a GenBank genome assembly. NCBI's taxonomy places the organism in Eukaryota, Fungi, Basidiomycota, Agaricomycetes, Agaricales, Mycenaceae.